RNAcentral lists this ribosomal RNA (1253 nucleotides) under Acanthaspis ruficeps. Its description in RNAcentral is "16S ribosomal RNA". The stretch from base 825 to 1180 matches the Rfam family "Bacterial large subunit ribosomal RNA", at positions 2079 to 2642 of the family's 2925-position model. The record is from RNAcentral. Lineage: Eukaryota; Metazoa; Arthropoda; Insecta; Hemiptera; Reduviidae.
UAAUUAAAUUAUUAUUAAUUAUGUUUAAUUUUAAUGUUUUUAAAAAAAGAAUUUGGUUUUUAGUAGUUUUUAUUGGAAUAAUUUUAUUUAUUAUAGUUUAAAGUACUGUGAAGGGAGUUUUUUUAUUUAUUUAAAGUAGUUUUAAUUUAAUGUACCUUUUGUAUCAGGGUUAAUUAAAUUAAUUGAAUGGAUUAUUGUUUUCCCGAAAGAGAGGGAGAUAAUUCAACAUGUUGUUUUUUGUUUCAAAAAAAUUGUUAAUGUUGAAUUAGUAAUGAUAUGUUAUUCAUCCUCUUAUAUCUGGUUUUUCUAGAAUUUAAUUGAAUUAAGGUUUAUUAUUUAUGUAUUUACUUAAAUUAAAGUUUUAUAAGCUAAGGGUUUUAGGGAUAAGCUUGAAGUCUUGAAUUAUAAUUAAUAAUUAUAAUUGAAUUAAGUAGGCUUAGAAUCAGCCAUCUUAAAUUUCGUUAUAGAUUUUUUCUUUGUUUGUUUUAUUUUAUUUAAUUUAAUUUUUUAUAGAAUUUACUUAAUUAAUAAUUAAUUAAGUGUAAUAAUGAUUUAAUUAGUAAGGAUUAUAAAUUAAUUUAUAGUAAUUCGGCAAUUUUGAUGUUCGCCUGUUUAACAAAAACAUGUCCUUUUGUUUAUUUAUUUAAGGUCUGGCCUGCCCAAUGAUUAGUUUAAUGGCCGCGGUAUUUUAACCGUGCUAAGGUAGCAUAAUCACUUGUCUUUUAAUUGAAGGCUGGAAUGAAUGGUUUGACGAAAUAUCAGCUUUCUUUAAAUUAAGAAUUGGAAUUUAAUUUUUUAGUUAAAAAGCUAAAAUGUAUUAAUGGGACGAGAAGACCCUAUAGAUCUUGAAUUAAACUUUAUUUAAGGAAGUUUAGCUUUUUUAUAAGUUUAAGUGAAGUUUUAUUUUGGUUGGGGUGACUAAGGAAUUUUAAUAACUUCCGUUAGAUUUAUGUCAUUAAUUGGUGAUUUAAUGAUCCAUUUGUAGUGAUUAUAAGAAUAAGAUACCUUAGGGAUAACAGCGUAAUUUUUUCGGAUAGUUCAUAUUGAUGGAAUAGUUUGCGACCUCGAUGUUGGAUUAAAAUAAGUAGUAAAUGCAGUAGUUUACUUACUAGGUCUGUUCGACCUAUAAUUUUUUACAUGAUCUGAGUUCAGACCGGCGUGAGCCAGGUCAGUUUCUAUCUUUUAGUUAGUUUUAAUGUUUUAGUACGAAAGGACCAGACAUUAGGAAUAAUUUUUGAUUUUAUGAUUUAUAA